Non-coding RNA from Pelobates cultripes (western spadefoot toad), 279 nucleotides. NCBI's taxonomy places the organism in Eukaryota, Metazoa, Chordata, Amphibia, Anura, Pelobatidae. The record is from the annotation of a GenBank genome assembly.
CACAAAACAGAGCUGGUAGGCCACGACAGAUCCAGCCUGGUCUAUAUGCUGUGUUAAAGGACCACUGUAGUCACCCAGACCACUUCAGCUAAAUGAAGUUGUCUGGAUGCCAGGUGCCCCAGGUUUUACCCUUCAGAUGUAAACAUAGCAGUUUCAGAGGGUGGGGGGACCCUAAGGAAUAUAUAGUUUCAUGAAAACAGAUUUGUUUUCCUGAUACUAUAGUGAUCCUUUAACAUUUCCAAACAAUUUCAUGAAGUGCCAUGUUAUUAUAUGAAAUAC